Sorex fumeus (smoky shrew) is the source of this 135-nucleotide small nucleolar RNA. RefSeq annotates it as small nucleolar RNA SNORA68. The record is from RefSeq and is a predicted model, not a curated record. The transcript has a single exon. Lineage: Eukaryota; Metazoa; Chordata; Mammalia; Eulipotyphla; Soricidae.
AUGGUCUGAUGUAAUUUCUAAAACAAAUUCAUAUUUUAGCCUUGGUUUAAACAGUGAUACCAACAGCAAACGCAUCCUGUCGCCUUUGGGGGGCUGGGCAGUGCCCCUGAGAGUAAAUUAGGAGGUUCUACAUGG